This 253-nucleotide ribosomal RNA is filed under the name uncultured bacterium. RNAcentral describes it as "partial 16S ribosomal RNA". It matches the Rfam family "Bacterial small subunit ribosomal RNA", at positions 524 to 776 of the family's 1533-position model. The record is from RNAcentral.
UACGUAGGGUGCGAGCGUUAAUCGGAAUUACUGGGCGUAAAGCGUGCGCAGGCGGUUUUGUAAGCCAGAUGUGAAAGCCCCGGGCUUAACCUGGGAAUGGCAUUUGGGACUGCAAGGCUUGAGUGCGGCAGAGGAGACUGGAAUUCCCGGUGUAGAGGUGAAAUUCGUAGAUAUCGGGAGGAACACCGGUGGCGAAGGCGGCGACCUGGGUCGAGACUGACGCUGAGGCGCGAAAGCGUGGGGAGCAAACAGG